UUCAUAGCGGAGGAAAAGAAACUAACAAGGAUUCCCCUAGUAACUGCGAGUGAAGCGGGAAAAGCUCAAAUUUAAAAUCUGGUGGUCUUUGACCAUCCGAGUUGUAAUUUAGAGAAGCGUCUUCUGCGCUGGACCGUGCGUAAGUCUCCUGGAAUGGAGCGUCAUAGAGGGUGAGAAUCCCGUCUUUGGCAUGGAUCCCAGGGCUUCUGUGAUGCGCUCUCAAAGAGUCGAGUUGUUUGGGAAUGCAGCUCAAAAUGGGUGGUGAACUCCAUCUAAAGCUAAAUAUUGGCGAGAGACCGAUAGCGAACAAGUACCGUGAGGGAAAGAUGAAAAGCACUUUGGAAAGAGAGUGAAACAGUACGUGAAAUUGUUGAAAGGGAAACGCUUGAAGUCAGUCGCGUNGACCGAGACUCAGCCUUGCCUUGGCUUGGUGUACUUCUCGGCUGACGGGUCAGCAUCAAUUUUGAUCCUUGGAUAAUGGCAAGGGAAAGGUAGCACCUUUACAGGUGUGUUAUAGUCCUCUGUCGGAUGCAAGGGUUGGGAUUGAGGAACUCAGCACGCACCCUAUUGGUGUCGGGGCCUUGGCCUACGUUACGUGCUUAGGAUGUUGGCAUAAUGGCUUUAAACGACCCGUCUUGAAACACGGACCAAGGAGUCUAACAUGCCCGCGAGUGUUCGGGUGGAAAACCCGUGCGCGUAAUGAAAGUAAAAGUUGGGACCUCUGUCGUGGAGGGCACCGACGCCCGGACCAGACCUUCUGUGACGGCUCUGCGGUAGAGCGUGUAUGUUGGGACCCGAAAGAUGGUGAACUAUGCCUGAAUAGGGUGAAGCCAGAGGAAACUCUGGUGGAGGCUCGUAGCGAUUCUGACGUGCAAAUCGAUCGUCAAAUUUGGGUAUAGGGGCGAAAGACUAAUCGA
RNAcentral lists this ribosomal RNA (917 nucleotides) under Russula rufobasalis. Its description in RNAcentral is "partial large subunit ribosomal RNA". It matches the Rfam family "Eukaryotic large subunit ribosomal RNA", at positions 43 to 938 of the family's 3401-position model. Lineage: Eukaryota; Fungi; Basidiomycota; Agaricomycetes; Russulales; Russulaceae. The record is from RNAcentral.